CGCGAGCAGAGCCCGGCCCGGCCCAGCCCUGGCAGGCAGCCUUCUCCACUCGGAGACCUGCUGUCCGGUCCCCACGCGGCCCUGGCCCAGUUACCUGUCCUUCCUGUCGGUCAUUCAACCUGUUUUCCCUAGGCGGAGGACCCACUGCCCUCUGGCGGCCUCGCCUGCUCCCGCGCCGGAAAAGGAAUCCGGCCCGGGGAGGCUGCGAGCGCCCUGACGCCCCCUUCCGGGAGAUCAACCGCAGUCGGGGAAAGAGCUAAACAUCUGACUCCCGAAACUGAACGUCUUCCUCACGGCCAAGCCACCGGCCUUGGGAAGCCAACACCAGCAUGUAGAGCUUGCGACUGAGUCUCCCUCUGCUUCAUACCCCAAAGCUCCGGUUGCUGAUCCAUCCGGGAGGCGAGCUCGUCGCCUAGCAACAUGGGUAAACAUUGUUGCGCGCAUGCGCAGUGGGGGCGACUGAACGAGGCGCCAAUUUGUGAAGGCCCUGUGCCUCUCGACUCAGGAGAUGCCCUGCCUUACUCCCGAAGUUGCUGCUCUUGACUUGACUUUAAAAGGCUGGUACCUCUGUCAGGGAAAACAGUAGGGCUAUGGGAGGUGGAGGGUAUUGGAGUUUAUGAGCGUGUGUGUGUGUGAAGGACUAAAGGACCAUCGUGGCCCAGAGGCUCAAUUCUGAAAUCCUCGCUUUCACCUCCGCGGGUCGCCGGGGAUGGGAAGAGACAGAGAAACUGUGGAGGCCGAGGGAAGCGCUGCCCCGAUAACCAAGCCCUGGAGAAGCCCAGAGGAGUGGGAGAAAGGUGCCCAGAGACAGGAGGGCACGGGAGCCCAGCGGUGGGACCGCACCAGGAGGCGAUGCUGCGGAAGGGUCAGGAUUAAUCCAGGCGGGUGGUGGCAAGAUGAGACGCUGCCCAGGGAGCCAAGCACAGAGUGUCUUUCCUACCUGUGUCAGACUGCGAAGGUUUUAAAGAUGAAGUGAUCUUGAAAUUGUGUCCGCGUCAUUUAAAAGAUAAGUGGUAAAGCAAAUGUUUCAGUCACCUCCCUUCCUCCCCAUUUUCCCCCUUUCCUUUUCCUUCCUGCCUUUAUUCUUCUGUUCUUAAUGUGAAAGUUUAAAAUCCAAUCCAAUAGCAAUUUUUUAAAAGCAUAAAUAAUCUGAAACCCUCACUUGAUCUUUAAAUGAGCUGCAUCAACACUUGACUUUUACUCCCACCUAGUGGCAAGAAAGAACCUUGAGUCUAAGAGAAACAGUUAAACCAGUUUGCUUAGUAAUGUAUUUCGUAGUUAUUGGAGAAUACUUAAUUGCAUUUACUUUUUAUAUUUUGUAGACAAAGAGCUCUUAGAUAUAACACUCACUCAAGGUUCAUGGAAUCUACUUUGAAAAAAACCAAGAUUCCUCUGACUGAAAUGCUUUAUUUUUCAACUUGUAAUUUUAAAUUCGAACUACUUUACAAAUUGAUGCUCCCCACUAGGCAUGACACUGGUGGUUCAGUUUUUCUGCUACUCUUCAAAUAAUUGAAAGGAUUCAUAUUGGGCACAAACCCCACAUGUGUGAGCAAUGUGGAAGAACUUUCAUUUGUUCCUCUAAGUAUUGAAGACAGGAACUCAAAUGAAUGAGAAAGCUUCUGUAUAUAAGCAAUAAGGAAAAAUCCUUCAGAUGUUCCAGUUUCCUUUUUAAAAAAAUGAAAAAAAGGUUUAAAUGAAUAGAGUAUGUCGAGGAUUCCCUUAAAUACAAUACUUUUUCAAAAGCCCUCUGUUGGCCCACAUGGAAGAAUUAACACUGGAUAAAAUCCUCUGUCAAACAUUGGUCUUUUAAAAG
RNAcentral lists this long non-coding RNA (1813 nucleotides) under Heterocephalus glaber (naked mole-rat). Its description in RNAcentral is "lncRNA (ENSHGLG00100041792.1)". The record is from RNAcentral. Lineage: Eukaryota; Metazoa; Chordata; Mammalia; Rodentia; Bathyergidae.